GACGCUGAGGCUCGAAAGCAUGGGUAGCGAACAGGAUUAGAUACCCUGGUAGUCCAUGCCGUAAACGAUGAGUGCUAAGUGUUGGAGGGUUUCCGCCCUUCAGUGCUGCAGCUAACGCAUUAAGCACUCCGCCUGGGGAGUACGACCGCAAGGUUGAAACUCAAAGGAAUUGACGGGGGCCCGCACAAGCGGUGGAGCAUGUGGUUUAAUUCGAAGCUACGCGAAGAACCUUACCAGGUCUUGACAUCUUCUGCCAAUCUUAGAGAUAAGACGUUCCCUUCGGGGACAGAAUGACAGGUGGUGCAUGGUUGUCGUCAGCUCGUGUCGUGAGAUGUUGGGUUAAGUCCCGCAACGAGCGCAACCCUUAUUAUCAUUUGCCAGCAUUCAGUUGGGCACUCUGGUGAGACUGCCGGUGACAAACCGGAGGAAGGUGGGGAUGACGUCAAAUCAUUCAUCCCCUUAUGACCUUGGGCUACACACGUGCUACAAUGGACGGUACAACGAGUCGCAAAGUCGCGAGGCUAAGCUAAUCUCUUAAAGCCGUUCUCAGUUCGGAUUGCAGGCUGCAACUCGCCUACAUGAAGUUGGAAUCGCUAGUAAUCGCGGAUCAGCAUGCCGCGGUGAAUACG
RNAcentral lists this ribosomal RNA (629 nucleotides) under uncultured bacterium. RNAcentral describes it as "bacterial SSU rRNA". It matches the Rfam family "Bacterial small subunit ribosomal RNA", at positions 742 to 1370 of the family's 1533-position model. The record is from RNAcentral.